AACUGUUACCACUAGAUGAAUUCAUAGUCUAGUUGGAGGUAAACGCUGUGAACUGAAACAUCUCAUUAGCAGCAGGAAUAUAAAGAAAUUUCGAUUCCCUAAGUAGCGGCGAGCGAACGGGGAACAGCCCAAACCAAAGUGCUUGCACUUUGGGGUUGUAGGACUGAACAUUUGAGUUACCAAAGAACUUGAUAGUCGAAGGAUUUGGGAAAAUCCGCCAUAGAUGGUGAUAGCCCAGUAGAUUAAAUCAAAUUCUCUCAGUUCAGGAUCCUGAGUACGGCGGAACACGUGAAAUUCCGUCGGAAUCCGGGAGGACCAUCUCCCAAGGCUAAAUACUACCUAGUGACCGAUAGUGAACCAGUACCGUGAGGGAAAGGUGAAAAGCACCCCGGGAGGGGAGUGAAAUAGUUCCUGAAACCAUGUGCCUACAAUAAGUCAGAGCGCGUUAAUGCGUGAUGGCGUGCCUUUUGUAGAAUGAACCGGCGAGUUAUGAUCCCGUGCAAGGUUAAGACUAAAAAGUCGGAGCCGUAGCGAAAGCGAGUCUGAAAUGGGCGUUUUGAGUACGAGGUUAUAGACCCGAAACCAGGUGACCUAUCCAUGUCCAGGUUGAAGGUGCGGUAAAACGCACUGGAGGACCGAACCCGUGUAAGUUGAAAAUUGCUGGGAUGAGGUGUGGAUAGCGGUGAAAUUCCAAACGAACUUGGAGAUAGCUGGUUCUCUCCGAAAUAGCUUUAGGGCUAGCCUCGGAAUUAGGAUCAUGGAGGUAGAGCACUAUUUGGACUAGGGGCCCGUCUUGGGUUACUGAAUUCAGAUAAACUCCGAAUGCCAUUGAUUCAUAUCCGGGAGUCAGACGAUGAGUGAUAAGAUCCACCGUCGAAAGGGGAACAGCCCAGACCAUCAGUUAAGGUCCCUAAAUGUAUGCUAAGUGGAAAAGGAUGUGGAGUUGCAUAGACAACUAGGAUGUUGGCUCAGAAGCAGCCACCAUUUAAAGAGUGCGUAAUAGCUCACUAGUCGAGUGAUCCUGCGCCGAAAAUGUACCGGGGCUAAGCAUACUACCGAAACCAUGGAUGCGACCAUUAGGUCGCGUGAUAGGAGAGCGUUCUAAGGGCGGUGAAGCAAGAUCGUGAGGACUUGUGGAGCGCUUAGAAGUGAGAAUGCCGGUAUGAGUAGCGAAAGAUAGGUGAGAAUCCUAUCCACCGAAUGACUAAGGUUUCCUGGGGAAGGCUCGUCCUCCCAGGGUUAGUCGGGACCUAAGUCGAGGCCGAGAGGCGUAGACGAUGGAUAACAGGUUGAGAUUCCUGUACUAGUUAAGUGCGUUUGAGCAAUGGAGGGACGCAGGAGGCUAAGAUGUGCAUUCUGUUGGAUUAGAAUGUCCAAGCAGUAAGUCUUGUGAAGAGUCAAAUGCUUUUCACUUUAAGGACAAGCUGUGAUGGGGAGCGAAAUUUAGUAGCGAAGCGUCUGAUGUCACACUGCCGAGAAAAGCUUCUAGUGAGUACUUAACUACCCGUACCGCAAACCGACACAGGUAGUCGAGGAGAGAAUCCUAAGGUGAGCGAGUGAACUCUCGUUAAGGAACUCGGCAAAAUGACCCCGUAACUUCGGGAGAAGGGGUGCUGAUCGCAAGAUCAGCCGCAGUGAAUAGGCCCAGGCGACUGUUUAUCAAAAACACAGGUCUCUGCAAAAUCGUAAGAUGACGUAUAGGGGCUGACGCCUGCCCGGUGCUGGAAGGUUAAAAGGAUGGGUUAGCUUCGGCGAAGCUCAGAAUUGAAGCCCCAGUAAACGGCGGCCGUAACUAUAACGGUCCUAAGGUAGCGAAAUUCCUUGUCGGGUAAGUUCCGACCCGCACGAAAGGCGUAACGAUCUGGGCACUGUCUCAACGAGAGACUCGGUGA
Molecule: ribosomal RNA, 1892 nt
Filed under: Lactiplantibacillus plantarum
Lineage: Bacteria; Bacillati; Bacillota; Bacilli; Lactobacillales; Lactobacillaceae
Description: bacterial LSU rRNA
Rfam family: Bacterial large subunit ribosomal RNA
Source: RNAcentral